UUUAUGAGAGUUUGAUCCUGGCUCAGGACGAACGCUGGCGGCGUGCCUAAUACAUGCAAGUAGAACGCUGAAGUCUGGUGCUUGCACUAGACGGAUGAGUUGCGAACGGGUGAGUAACGCGUAGGUAACCUGCCUCAUAGCGGGGGAUAACUAUUGGAAACGAUAGCUAAUACCGCAUAACAGUAUUUACCGCAUGGUAGAUAUUUGAAAGGAGCAAUUGCUUCACUAUGAGAUGGACCUGCGUUGUAUUAGCUAGUUGGUGAGGUAACGGCUCACCAAGGCUUCGAUACAUAGCCGACCUGAGAGGGUGAUCGGCCACACUGGGACUGAGACACGGCCCAGACUCCUACGGGAGGCAGCAGUAGGGAAUCUUCGGCAAUGGGGGCAACCCUGACCGAGCAACGCCGCGUGAGUGAAGAAGGUUUUCGGAUCGUAAAGCUCUGUUGUAAGAGAAGAACUGUGAGAAGAGUGGAAAGUUUCUCACUUGACGGUAUCUUACCAGAAAGGGACGGCUAACUACGUGCCAGCAGCCGCGGUAAUACGUAGGUCCCGAGCGUUGUCCGGAUUUAUUGGGCGUAAAGCGAGCGCAGGCGGUUUGAUAAGUCUGAAGUAAAAGGCUGUGGCUUAACCAUAGUACGCUUUGGAAACUGUCAAACUUGAGUGCAGAAGGGGAGAGUGGAAUUCCAUGUGUAGCGGUGAAAUGCGUAGAUAUAUGGAGGAACACCGGUGGCGAAAGCGGCUCUCUGGUCUGUAACUGACGCUGAGGCUCGAAAGCGUGGGGAGCGAACAGGAUUAGAUACCCUGGUAGUCCACGCCGUAAACGAUGAGUGCUAGGUGUUGGGUCCUUUCCGGGACUCAGUGCCGCAGCUAACGCAUUAAGCACUCCGCCUGGGGAGUACGACCGCAAGGUUGAAACUCAAAGGAAUUGACGGGGGCCCGCACAAGCGGUGGAGCAUGUGGUUUAAUUCGAAGCAACGCGAAGAACCUUACCAGGUCUUGACAUCCCGAUGACCGCCCUAGAGAUAGGGUUUCUCUUCGGAGCAUCGGUGACAGGUGGUGCAUGGUUGUCGUCAGCUCGUGUCGUGAGAUGUUGGGUUAAGUCCCGCAACGAGCGCAACCCCUAUUGUUAGUUGCCAUCAUUCAGUUGGGCACUCUAGCGAGACUGCCGGUAAUAAACCGGAGGAAGGUGGGGAUGACGUCAAAUCAUCAUGCCCCUUAUGACCUGGGCUACACACGUGCUACAAUGGCUGGUACAACGAGUCGCAAGUCGGUGACGGCAAGCUAAUCUCUUAAAGCCAGUCUCAGUUCGGAUUGUAGGCUGCAACUCGCCUACAUGAAGUCGGAAUCGCUAGUAAUCGCGGAUCAGCACGCCGCGGUGAAUACGUUCCCGGGCCUUGUACACACCGCCCGUCACACCACGAGAGUUUGUAACACCCGAAGUCGGUGAGGUAACCUUUUAGGAGCCAGCCGCCUAAGGUGGGAUAGAUGAUUGGGGUGAAGUCGUAACAAGGUAGCCGUAUCGGAAGGUGCGGCUGGAUCACCUCCUUUCUAAGGAAAUGGAAACCUGUACGUCAGUCUUCUUUAAUUUUGAGAGGU
This 1596-nucleotide ribosomal RNA is filed under the name Streptococcus suis. RNAcentral's name for it is "bacterial SSU rRNA". It matches the Rfam family "Bacterial small subunit ribosomal RNA". Lineage: Bacteria; Bacillati; Bacillota; Bacilli; Lactobacillales; Streptococcaceae. The record is from RNAcentral.